Molecule: small nucleolar RNA, 114 nt
Organism: Manduca sexta (tobacco hornworm)
Lineage: Eukaryota; Metazoa; Arthropoda; Insecta; Lepidoptera; Sphingidae
Product: small nucleolar RNA psi18S-841/snoR66
Exons: 1
Source: RefSeq, a predicted model, not a curated record
UGCAAGGGCACUCUGUGGUGUCAUACUCAAUAUGACAUUUACAAUUUGUUACCUUGCUAAAACAAUUCUGCUGAACCCUAUUCCAUAUAGCUGGUGUAGCUAGCUGGUCAUUGU